Molecule: ribosomal RNA, 428 nt
Filed under: bacterium YSB3010
Lineage: Bacteria
Description: bacterial SSU rRNA
Rfam family: Bacterial small subunit ribosomal RNA
Source: RNAcentral
GACGAACGCUGGCGGCACGCUUAACACAUGCAAGUCGAACGGAGAUAUUUUGAGUUUACUUAGGAUAUCUUAGUGGCGGACGGGUGAGUAACACGUGAGCAACCUGCCUUGGAGAGAGGGAUAGCUUCUGGAAACGGAUGGUAAUACCUCAUAACAUACAUGGAUCGCAUGAUCUGUGUAUCAAAGAUUUAUCACUCUGAGAUGGGCUCGCGUCUGAUUAGCUAGAUGGUGAGGUAACGGCCCACCAUGGCGACGAUCAGUAGCCGGACUGAGAGGUUGAACGGCCACAUUGGGACUGAGACACGGCCCAGACUCCUACGGGAGGCAGCAGUGGGGAAUAUUGCACAAUGGGGGAAACCCUGAUGCAGCGAUGCCGCGUGGAGGAAGAAGGUUUUCGGAUUGUAAACUCCUGUCUUAAAGGACGAUAA